Long non-coding RNA from Acanthochromis polyacanthus (spiny chromis), 3887 nucleotides. RefSeq lists it as uncharacterized. The transcript has 4 exons. NCBI's taxonomy places the organism in Eukaryota, Metazoa, Chordata, Actinopteri, Pomacentridae. The record is from RefSeq and is a predicted model, not a curated record.
CUCGUAUUUAUAUACAAUCUUUGAUGUUUUGGAGGAAGACUAACCGUAUGACAGAAACCAUAGACACAGAAACAGUCGGAUUUCUCUUUUUACCAAUUUUCACAAGAUGCCUUCAUAAACUCAAGAAAAGAAAGCCUUGUGUGUGGAGUAUCUUUUGAUGGUUCGCUGGCUGUCUAGCAGUGCAGUCACGUAUAGUCACUAUGGUACAGUAUGGUAUAGUAUAGGAUAGAAUGGUAUAGUUAAGUAUAGCAUAGCAUCGUAUAGUACAGUCUAUAUUAAUAUAGUAGAGUAGAGUACCAUUGUGCCUCAAUUUUAGAGUCUGUAUCCUUUGUAGGCCAAAUGUGUCACAAUGGCCGUGAUUUAGAUGUGGAUUUAUCAGUCAGUGGAGGUUAGUUUUAAAUCUUAGUACUGUGUUACAACUCGCUCUGGUAAGUAACGAUAUAAAUGUGAAAAACCCAACAAAACUUUUUUUUAAUUUAAAGUUAUGUGGCAUUAGUGAUGUGUGCCACUUCGCUUUAAAACAUUUACUUUCCAGUCAUACAGCGUCACUGUUUGAGUUAUAUCUUGAAAAGAUUGAAGCAAUUUUCUAAUAUUUUAUGCUCAUAUUAGGGAAAUAUAUAGACCAAUGUUAACAAAUUUUAACAGAAUCCUUCUUGGACAGUUUAGUGUAAUUUUUAAAGUCCAGUACAGUUGUGGAGAUUGAUUUAAUGGCUAACAUGAACUUGGAUAUUUUUACUAUUUACAAAGCUACAGUUUUGUUUGUGAUAUACAGAACAACAAUCAGUUAUUCAUUGAGGCAAAAAAAUCAGCCACUUUUAACUGGAGUUAAGACAGCAGUAACCUAUCUGUACUAUCUCUAUUUCUAUUUAAUCAUGUAGUUAUUAAUGUUGAAGUUAUAUUAGAUUCCAUCCUAUACACAGCUCAUAGUAAGACAAAAAAAAUAGUGAAAUUGUCCUCAUUUUGCUGUCAUCAUAUCAUACGUUUUCGUAAGUUUGCAGUAGUGUUUAAAUGUUUCAUGUUUGUUUUCUCCUUCUCUCACAUUUUCUCUUUGAUUAAGACAAUGCUGGAGGAAAUGGACUGGCAGGAAAAGGUCAGCCCCCGCAGGCCAAAAAAGUGGGGUAACUUAAAGACGAAAUACAAUUGCUUGGUGUCCUCCAGUCCUCUCUUCUCUGCCCUCUUCCUCCUCUUCCUCCAUGCUUUCUCAUGUCACUCCUCCCACUGUUCUUCCCCAAAUUACGUAAGGCCCAAGUAAGGCAGUAGUGGAAGAUGAUCAGGAGGAGGAGGAGGAUGAAAGCCAGCCAUCUCCAGCAGACAGACGGAUAAAUAUAACUGACGGAUCCUGUGGACACAUACCAUCACCUGCACAAUUCUACUGCCGCAUCUUCUCCCACAUCCUGCCCACUAAUCCACUCUUUUCACCGUGCAUUGCAGGUACCCCAUCUGUCAUUAGUCCUACCAGCUUGUUCCAAGAGAGUUUCAUGUCAUUCACACAAUAAGACACUUGUUCAUAUAUGUCUUUCCCCACGGUUGUGCCAUGCAUUGCUUUAAUACCCAAAAGUUCCUCUUUGAUGCAUAAAUCAGAGUUCACUCCUCAGAUGAAGACUGACAGCUGAGCAGUAUCCAUUACGUUGCUGUUUUCAUCCACAGCAAGGAAUAAGCUAUGAAGUCUUUUCCAUUAGGUGAUUUUGUAGAUUGGUGGCAAGCUGACAUGUCCGAUCGGCAUCGAUGUUUCUGCUCAGGCUUACUUUUGAAAGUGCUUGCUCUUUGUCUGGACAGACGACCUCGCACACUUAAAUCAUGCAGUUCUCAACAAACUCUCCCUCUGUAAAUGGCCGGGCUGAUUUAACAAUUCUUUUGCCACAAUAAAACUAGCUUUAACGGCAGCCUCACUUUGAGAUUUUAUAGUCUGCUGUGACACCAGAUUUCUUUUUGGUUUUUCUGCCCUGUGAAGCCUCUGCUGAACAUUCAGAUCCUUCUAUCUGUCCUUGUGUUUCAUUGUAUAGUCUGAAGUUACUCACUUUGAAGAUGGCCGCUUCAGCUCUGCAUAAAAGAGAAACCGGUUUUCUCAUUAUGCUAGUGAACAUAUACUCGAUCGCUCAUCCGCCUUGAAAUCCUGUUUUCAGAGUCCGCCUUUUGUUUGGACAUGUCUUGGGGGUUAGCGUACAGUUCAAGCAAGCAGACACAGUGAUCAUGAAACUGAUGAGUUUGUCAAUAAAGUUGGGCGAAGCGUCGGAGCUAUUCUUCUUCUUCUUUUGGUUUAUUGGAAGGAGGCAUCCAGCAUUGCCUGCUGUGUUAGGGUGUGGACCAGAGCACUAUCCCCCAGCUAUUGCAAUGCAGUCUGGGAUUUGUAGUAUCAAUGGAUGGACUUAACAGAGUAUGACCCUAAUAGACGAAUUGAGAUGUGUGAAUGGUUUUCCAAUAAAUUGGAUGAAAACAUCUGUUUUACUGAAGACUUUGUGUUGUUCAACGAUAAAGCUUUGUUUUAUGUGAAUGGCGAGGUUAACAGACAGAAUGUUCGAUACUGGGCCCAAAGCAAUCCACGUUUUGUGGAUUAUUCCAAACAGCAUUGAGCACCAAAAAUGUAUGGUGUGGUGUGGUUUGUGGAAAGCUCAUGUCUUGGGGCCAUUCUUCUUCGAUUUACGUGUAACUAGUGAGACUUUUCUAGCCAUGCUGAGAGAUCAGUUAAUGCCCCAACUUGGAAGUCUAGGUAAAGGACUACCUGAAUAGUUCCAACAAGAUGGUGCCUCUGCCCAUUUCGCCACGGUGGUAAGAGAUUGGUUGAAUGACAAUUCCCCUAACUGGCUUGGAAGACGUGAUCAUGUGGAGUGGUUCCCUCGUUCACCAGACCUUAACCCCCUUGACUUCUUUUUCUGGGGUAUGCUGAAGGAGAAGAUGUGCUCAAUGAAAAUCACAGAUGCAACACACUUGAUUGAACGCAUAAAGAGAGAACGUGCUAAAAUUGACGGCAAUGUGGAUUUAUUACAUCGAAUUCACAUGAAUUUUGCAAAGCGCAUCAACCUUUGCAUUACAAAUGAUGGAAAUUGUAAGGAACAUGUUGUUUGUUAAUAAUCCUAUUGAAUAAAAUGUUUCAAAAUGAAUUACUUGAAAAUAUGUACUUUUGCCUAAGUGUUCAGACUGAGGGACACCAUGUACUUAUGUAUGUAAAAGCUCCUUCUUUGUCAUGGGAAUAUAAACAUCCAAGCAGCAUUCCUGUCUAACUGACAGACAUUUGGCAGACUAUCUCAGAGCAGCUAUAACUGACCAACAACCAGAACUGAAAGUAAUUGUGAAAAGAAUGCAAACUUCAAGCUCUGACUAGGAAAAAGAAACAAAUGUUAUUGUUAUUCAUAUUUUGCCCCAUAUUCAAUGAUGUUCUUCAAACUUUUUUAAUGUAAUCAAAGUGCAGUUAUUCACUCCAGUCAGUACACAACAUUUGCUGCGCAAAUUGAGAAUUUGUUAAAUAUUCCAUGAUGCUUUGGAAUAGAGCCACAGAGCUGGUGCAUUUUAAUACAGUGCAUAACCAGAAGGGGGCGAUAUUACUCUGUGAAAGUGAAUCAAGUCAGACACUGUGAUUUAUAGAGCCAAUCAGUGCUCCAAAAUCACAUACAAGAGAGACACUGGAAAACUUUGUGCAAGAGAGAUGAACCAAAAGAAAGGCCAUGAAAUUGAUAUUUCAUGGCCUGUAGAAAACGUCCCAAUAGAGAGACACUGAGCUAACCACAUAUUUCACAGCUCCGUUGGUUCAUCAGCUCAGCUGACUUGUUUGCAGCCUGUAUGUUUUCAUUACCAGCCUCUUCUACAUAUUUUAGUUACACAACUGACAAACAACUUGUGAUUAAGUGAUGCAUAACAAAUAAAAAUGGUGCUUAGAACAAUAGGGGAACAAA